This 1103-nucleotide ribosomal RNA is filed under the name Bacillus sp. R57. RNAcentral's name for it is "bacterial SSU rRNA". It matches the Rfam family "Bacterial small subunit ribosomal RNA", at positions 52 to 1159 of the family's 1533-position model. Lineage: Bacteria; Bacillati; Bacillota; Bacilli; Caryophanales; Bacillaceae. The record is from RNAcentral.
AUCAUGCAAGUCGAGCGAAGAGAUGGGAGCUUGCUCCCUGAUCUUAGCGGCGGACGGGUGAGUAACACGUGGGCAACCUGCCCUGCAGACUGGGAUAACUCCGGGAAACCGGAGCUAAUACCGGGUAAUACAUCGCACCGCAUGGUGCAAUGUUGAAAGUUGGCUUUCUGAGCUAACACUGCAGGAUGGGCCCGCGGCGCAUUAGCUAGUUGGUAAGGUAAUGGCUUACCAAGGCGACGAUGCGUAGCCGACCUGAGAGGGUGAUCGGCCACACUGGGACUGAGACACGGCCCAGACUCCUACGGGAGGCAGCAGUAGGGAAUCUUCCGCAAUGGACGAAAGUCUGACGGAGCAACGCCGCGUGAGUGACGAAGGCCUUCGGGUCGUAAAGCUCUGUUGUUAGGGAAGAACAAGUACCGUUCGAAUAGGGCGGUACCUUGACGGUACCUAACCAGAAAGCCACGGCUAACUACGUGCCAGCAGCCGCGGUAAUACGUAGGUGGCAAGCGUUGUCCGGAAUUAUUGGGCGUAAAGCGCGCGCAGGCGGUCUUUUAAGUCUGAUGUGAAAGCCCACGGCUCAACCGUGGAGGGUCAUUGGAAACUGGAGGACUUGAGUGCAGAAGAGGAGAGUGGAAUUCCACGUGUAGCGGUGAAAUGCGUAGAUAUGUGGAGGAACACCAGUGGCGAAGGCGGCUCUCUGGUCUGUAACUGACGCUGAGGCGCGAAAGCGUGGGGAGCAAACAGGAUUAGAUACCCUGGUAGUCCACGCCGUAAACGAUGAGUGCUAGGUGUUGGGGGGGUUCCACCCUCAGUGCUGAAGUUAACACAUUAAGCACUCCGCCUGGGGAGUACGACCGCAAGGUUGAACUCAAGGAAUUUGACGGGGGCCCGCACAAGCAGUGGAGCAUGUGGUUUAAUUCGAAGCAACGCGAGACCUUACCAGUCUUGACAUCCUCUGACAUCUGGAGACAGGACGUCCCUUCGGGGACGGUGACAGUGUGCAUGGUGUCGUCAGCUCGUGUCUGAAUGUGGGCAGUCCGCACGAGCCAACCUUGAUCUAGUGCAGCAUGUAGCCUUAGUACUGCGGUACAACUCUAAGAGUA